GCCCAGGUGGCGGAAUGGUAGACGCGGCGGACUUAAAAUCCGCUUCUCGGUAAGAGAGUGGGGGUUCGAGUCCCUUCCUGGGCACCA
RNAcentral lists this transfer RNA (87 nucleotides) under Chloroflexota bacterium. RNAcentral describes it as "tRNA-Leu". It matches the Rfam family "tRNA". From Rfam's summary of the family: Transfer RNA (tRNA) molecules are approximately 80 nucleotides in length. Their secondary structure includes four short double-helical elements and three loops (D, anti-codon, and T loops). RNAcentral also lists the same sequence under 3 other names. Lineage: Bacteria; Bacillati; Chloroflexota. The record is from RNAcentral.